AAGAGGAGCGUUCGCCUAGUUGCACUCCAGAAUGUAGCAAAAAAAAAACAAGAAGAAUAAGAAGAAUAAGAAAAAGAAGAGUAAGUAGUAUUAGUUAUAGUAGAAGUAGCAAUAGUGGUAGUAACAGUAUUAAUAGCAGUAGCACUAAUAGCAGCAAUAACAAUAUUAGCAGUAACAAUAGCAACAACAAUAGUAGCAAUAGUAGUAGUAGUAGUAGUGGUAAUUAUUGUAGCAGUAAUAGUAAUAUUAGUAGUAGUAGCAGUAGGAAUUGUAGCAGUAGUAGCAGCUGUACCAAAAGUAGAAAUAAUAACAGUAGUAGCAGUAACAGUAGUAAUAUCAGUAGUAAUAAUAUUAUUAGUGGUAGUAGUAGUAAUAGUAGUACUA
RNAcentral lists this long non-coding RNA (384 nucleotides) under Carica papaya (papaya). RNAcentral's name for it is "long non-coding RNA (CPAP_LNC011933)". The record is from RNAcentral. Lineage: Eukaryota; Viridiplantae; Streptophyta; Magnoliopsida; Brassicales; Caricaceae.